This is a long non-coding RNA of Heterocephalus glaber (naked mole-rat), 1570 nucleotides long. The record is from Ensembl. NCBI's taxonomy places the organism in Eukaryota, Metazoa, Chordata, Mammalia, Rodentia, Bathyergidae.
AGAAACUGGAGAUACAAUGGUGAACCAGGCCCAUGGCUGCUUGAAUGAAUGGCUUUAACCAUCUAUUAAUAUAGCUGCUGUAGGAAGCAAGUGACAGUAACCACAGCUUUAGAAAAGAGGCCACAGCUCCACCCAGAAUUCUCGAGAGUUUUCCACACUUCUUGACAAUGAAUGUUCAGACUCAAAAGAAUACAUUGCGACUGGCACAGCAAGCAGCAUGAACAUCACAGUCGCCAGGGUCCCCUUGCUUCCCGAGUCCUCCAGCAGUGCCAGUGAGCCAUCCAGGGAAAACUACCGCUGUCUUCCACGGCAGUUUGCUGUGUGACCGUCCCAGCAGAGGGUGCGCAGAGCAGAAUUUGUUUUGGCCCAGGAGAUACAGAAACACAAGGGCCCUGUACGGAACAGUCCAGCGGUGCUUCCUGUGUGCCCUGCGCUAUUGUAUAAACCCUGCAGUCUCCUGGGAGGUGUUUGGAGUCUCCUGGAAUUGAAUUGCAUGCAGGAGAAGAAACUGUGCUUCCUGAGCAGGUGAGGAAAUGGGCUCAGCUGCUUCCUUCAGCUAUGGUCAAGCAGCUAGUGAGUCUCAGAGCUAGAAUUUGAGCCUGGGCAGGUGAGCCCAGGACCUAAGACACUGGCACCACCUUGUCCGGAUUGACAAAGAACAACUGAAGUCUGCUGCCUCCAAGUUGUGACCAAAGUCACCGCAAGAUUCCUGGAGCCUGGAACACGAUGCGACACAAGCAGAGGAAGCAGCGGCCCAAGCUCUGACGGGAACAUGCUUCUACACGCGAGCUCACGGAAGCCCACACAGCGCUCCCUCGGGCGCGCCUGCGUGGAAGGGACCACCCCACCUCCCCCUGCCCAGUUCCCAGCUGCCUGCUCGGGGUCGCCCCGCAGAAUCAGCCCACCAAUCCAUCAGCGGGCAGCAGGCUCCGAGCUGCUGGGGGCAUAAAUCAAAUGGCAAGGAGGAAAGGUUUAAAAAAAGUCUCUGGGCCUUUGAGGCCUCCCCGCUGAUGUAUUUGGACGUCUCGGGCCGUCUGUUCGCGGAGGCCACCCCAGCCCCUGGGCCCGGCCCAGCCCCCCAAGCACGUUCCUUCCAUCAGCGGCGGCUGCCCUUGGAGGCUUUUGAAGUGGGUCCUGCUGGUGUUUAUUCGCCUUCGUGAAGAGACCGAUUGCUCGCUUUUCUGACCACGAAGACAGCUACAAAACUCCUACUGAUGACAAAACAGACCCGUAGCAGGAACUCUAGACUUCUCUCCGGUUGGGAUUUAGUACCGCUGGGCUCCUUUCUGAUCCUCGCUAGGAACUAAGUCAUCAAGAUGUAUAGCCCCACCCCCACCCCCCUUCUUCUUUAGCUCGAGCAGGUAACUUUCCAGAAGAGGAGCUGGCUGCAGAAUCUUUUACACUUGGGGAGUCUGGAAUUUGGAUAUGUCUGAAGCAGAGGAUGCUUAUGUGACCAGACUCCAAUAAAAACCUGUGCUGCAUCUCUACUGAGCUUCUCUGCAAAACACCACCCCCCUCUUGUUACAGGUGGGGGAAUUAAACAUGUGGGGUGUGACCUCACUGGGAGAGG